GUGAACGCUGGCGGUAGGCCUAACACCUGCAAGUCGAACGGCAGCACAGGAGAGCUUGCUCUCUGGGUGGCGAGUGGCGGACGGGUGAGGAAUACAUCGGAAUCUACCUUUUCGUGGGGGAUAACGUAGGGAAACUUACGCUAAUACCGCAUACGACCUACGGGUGAAAGUGGGGGACCGCAAGGCCUCACGCGAUUAGAUGAGCCGAUGUCCGAUUAGCUAGUUGGCGGGGUAAUGGCCCACCAAGGCGACGAUCGGUAGCUGGUCUGAGAGGAUGAUCAGCCACACUGGAACUGAGACACGGUCCAGACUCCUACGGGAGGCAGCAGUGGGGAAUAUUGGACAAUGGGCGCAAGCCUGAUCCAGCCAUACCGCGUGGGUGAAGAAGGCCUUCGGGUUGUAAAGCCCUUUUGUUGGGAAAGAAAUCCUGUCGAUUAAUACUCGGUGGGGAUGACGGUACCCAAAGAAUAAGCACCGGCUAACUUCGUG
RNAcentral lists this ribosomal RNA (489 nucleotides) under uncultured bacterium. Its description in RNAcentral is "partial 16S ribosomal RNA". It matches the Rfam family "Bacterial small subunit ribosomal RNA", at positions 29 to 507 of the family's 1533-position model. The record is from RNAcentral.